Molecule: non-coding RNA, 73 nt
Organism: Pangasianodon gigas (Mekong giant catfish)
Lineage: Eukaryota; Metazoa; Chordata; Actinopteri; Siluriformes; Pangasiidae
Source: the annotation of a GenBank genome assembly
GAUGAUCAGAUGCUGUAAUGUGUGUGUGUGUGUGUGUGUGUGUAAAUGAGAAAUUGAGCCAAGUCCAAACUAA